This 380-nucleotide ribosomal RNA is filed under the name uncultured bacterium. RNAcentral's name for it is "bacterial SSU rRNA". It matches the Rfam family "Bacterial small subunit ribosomal RNA", at positions 28 to 407 of the family's 1533-position model. The record is from RNAcentral.
GACGAACGCUGGCGGCGUGCUUAACACAUGCAAGUCGAGCGGUAAGGCCCUUUCGGGGGUACGACGAGCGGCGAACGGGUGAGUAACACGUGGGUGACCUGCCCUUAGCUCUGGGAUAAGCCUGGGAAACUGGGUCUAAUACCGGAUAUGACUCCAUAACGCAUGUUGUGGGGUGGAAAGCCUUGUGCGGCUAGGGAUGGGCCCGCGGCCUAUCAGCUUGUUGGUGGGGUGAUGGCCACCAAGGCGACGACGGGUAGCCGGCCUGAGAGGGCGACCGGCCACACUGGGACUGAGACACGGCCCAGACUCCUACGGGAGGGCAGCAGUGGGGAAGUCUUGCGCAAUGGGCGAAAGCCUGACGCAGCGACGCCGCGUGGGGA